GACGAACGCUGGCGGCGUGCCUAAUACAUGCAAGUUGAGCGCUGAAGGUUGGUACUUGUACCAACUGGAUGAGCAGCGAACGGGUGAGUAACGCGUGGGGAAUCUGCCUUUGAGCGGGGGACAACAUUUGGAAACGAAUGCUAAUACCGCAUAAAAACUUUAAACACAAGUUUUAAGUUUGAAAGAUGCAAUUGCAUCACUCAAAGAUGAUCCCGCGUUGUAUUAGCUAGUUGGUGAGGUAAAGGCUCACCAAGGCGAUGAUACAUAGCCGACCUGAGAGGGUGAUCGGCCACAUUGGGACUGAGACACGGCCCAAACUCCUACGGGAGGCAGCAGUAGGGAAUCUUCGGCAAUGGACGAAAGUCUGACCGAGCAACGCCGCGUGAGUGAAGAAGGUUGUCGGAUCGUAAAACUCUGUUGGAAGAGAAGAACGUUGGUGAGAGUGGAAAGCUCAUCAAGUGACGGUAACUACCCAGAAAGGGACGGCUAACUACGUG
This 497-nucleotide ribosomal RNA is filed under the name uncultured bacterium. Its description in RNAcentral is "partial 16S ribosomal RNA". It matches the Rfam family "Bacterial small subunit ribosomal RNA", at positions 28 to 507 of the family's 1533-position model. The record is from RNAcentral.